GGUUCAAACAAAGAAGGAAGAAGGUUUCCUUCCUCCAUCCAAUAUGCAUGACAUCGUGCCCCAGCCUUCUGCCCAUGCCGAUGUGACAUCAACUUCUCAUGUUAGUGAAACAGGUAACAAUCUUCAGUCUUCUGAGGAGACUACUGUUAACAACACCAGCAUGGAUCACACACCUUCUCUAGGUGACACGUUGGACCCUCAGAAUGCUUGUAUGCGGGUUCUUGCUUCAAGUCCCGCUGACUGCACCAGCUAUGCAGGAAAUACUCGCUCCAAGGUUUAUUUAAUUUGGGUAGCAACCACAUCCUUGCUCCUCCUAAGAUCGUCAGUGUGGUUGCUGCACUUGGUGGCUUUGAUGAUGAUGAUGUGGAUAUUGAACCAAUUUUAGAAAUCCUGCACAGUUAAAGUGACAAGGAGCUUAACAAGUUUCUGCUGAACAACC
This is a long non-coding RNA of Microtus ochrogaster (prairie vole), 439 nucleotides long. RefSeq lists it as uncharacterized. The record is from RefSeq and is a predicted model, not a curated record. The transcript has 3 exons. NCBI's taxonomy places the organism in Eukaryota, Metazoa, Chordata, Mammalia, Rodentia, Cricetidae.